RNAcentral lists this ribosomal RNA (811 nucleotides) under uncultured Alphaproteobacteria bacterium. RNAcentral's name for it is "bacterial SSU rRNA". It matches the Rfam family "Bacterial small subunit ribosomal RNA", at positions 35 to 880 of the family's 1533-position model. Lineage: Bacteria; Pseudomonadati; Pseudomonadota; Alphaproteobacteria. The record is from RNAcentral.
GCUGGCGGCAGGCUUAACACAUGCAAGUCGAACGAGAAACUAGACUUCGGUCUAGUGGAAAGUGGCAGACGGGUGAGUAACGCGUGGGAAUCUACCUUUGAGUGGGGAAUAACAACUAGAAAUGGUUGCUAAUACCGCAUAUACCCUUCGGGGGAAAGGCUUCGGCCGCUCUUAGAUGAGCCCGCGUACGAUUAGUUUGUUGGUAAGGUAAAGGCUUACCAAGACUACGAUCGUUAGCUGGUUUGAGAGGAUGAUCAGCCACACUGGGACUGAGACACGGCCCAGACUCCUACGGGAGGCAGCAGUGGGGAAUAUUGGACAAUGGGCGAAAGCCUGAUCCAGCCAUGCCGCGUGAGUGAAGAAGGCCUUAGGGUUGUAAAACUCUUUCGGCAGGGAAGAUAAUGACGGUACCUGCAGAAGAAGCUCCGGCUAACUCCGUGCCAGCAGCCGCGGUAAUACGGAGGGGGCAAGCGUUGCUCGGAAUUACUGGGCGUAAAGCGAGCGUAGGCGGUUAAUCAAGUUGGUGGUGAAAGCCCAGAGCUUAACUCUGGAACUGCCAUCAAAACUGGUUGACUAGAGAUUGGUAGAGGAAAAUGGAAUUCCUAGUGUAGAGGUGAAAUUCGUAGAUAUUGGGAAGAACACCAGUGGCGAAGGCGAUUUUCUGGGCCAAUUCUGACGCUGAGGUUCGAAAGCGUGGGUAGCAAACAGGAUUAGAUACCCUGGUAGUCCACGCCGUAAACGAUGAGUGCUAGACGUCGGAAACUAGUUUUUCGGUGUCGUAGUUAACGCAUUAAGCACUCCGCCUGGGGAG